UACGGAGGGGGCAAGCGUUAAUCGGAAUUACUGGGCGUAAAGCGUGCGCAGGCGGCUCCUUAAGUCAGAUGUGAAAUCCCCGGGCUUAACCUGGGAACUGCGUUUGAAACUGAGGGGCUUGAGUGUGGAAGAGGGGGGUGGAAUUCCAGGUGUAGCAGUGAAAUGCGUAGAGAUCUGGAGGAACACCGAUGGCGAAGGCAGCCCCCUGGGCUAACACUGACGCUCAUGCACGAAAGCGUGGGGAGCAAACAGG
Molecule: ribosomal RNA, 253 nt
Filed under: uncultured bacterium
Lineage: Bacteria
Description: partial 16S ribosomal RNA
Rfam family: Bacterial small subunit ribosomal RNA
Source: RNAcentral